UGGCUGGUGGCUGCGGCUCCUGGCGGUGCAGGAGGGCGUCCCUGGGCUGAGUGGAGAACGGGCGACCUCUGGAUCCCAGGUCGACAGAGGGGAGGUUAAAAGUCGAAGCUCAGGAGGACACAGCCUCAAGGGCCUGAAGUGACAAGGCGGGGCUUAUCAGAGCGGGCAGAAGGCUGACCAGGCCCCGUUGGCAUUGCUGAAGACUGUAUGUGUGUUUUUGUGUGCACGUAAGUGUGUGAGCGGGGAGGGGGAAGGGGGGUGGUGGUCUUGAUUUAGGACUCUGCCUCAACUUGGCUUGCUCCGGCACUGCAGAAAACAACAGAGAAGACGACAAAAAGAGCAAGAAGGUCAUACCGCCCAGCCUUGUGAGGGAAGGGGAAAUGCGUCUGAGGAGGGACAAAGAGGCGAAGAGGCUGUCACUGAGGAUGAUGGGAGAGGAAUGCAGCUGCAGCUUCGAACAUGUAUAAAAAGCAAAGAGGUCAACUUCCUGAAGUCAGCAGCAGCCGAAGCCAGUACAAUGUGUACUCCCCCCCCCCUACACACAGUAAGAAGGAAAGAAACAAAAGGGACGUGUAGCUAACUUCAUGAAUCCUUGAAUACUGCUACAACAGAAUUAACUGAUCCAAGUGUUCUGGUCCUGUUUUGUACCUUAAAACUUACAUUAAGUAACCUGGUGAGGAAGAGAUGGAUCUAAACCAAGAUGCACUUAACUGACAGGUCCAUCUUGCUUGUUUCACACAAUCUCCUGCAUUAAGAUUCACACAUGUUCAUUUUAGGAAUUUGAAAUUGAUACCAAACCAUCGAUACAUACCGCUACAAAGGUUAGUAAAUGGAAAACAUUGCAUAUUCUCUCAACUGAUUGACCUGAGCAUCUUAAACACCGGUGCAACUGAACCAUCAUCUGAACAUUGUGUUCUGCUUCAGGCACUUUUUGUGUGUCUGCCUGUUGCCAUGCAACUGCAGAAUCUAUUUGAAGCUUUAUGCUUUUUCCCCCAAAGUAGACUUCUUUUUUUAUAUAUAUAUAAUUUGCAUGAAAGUAAAACUCCACCGGCCUUCGGCGACAAACCUUAAUUUUGAAAAUAUAUCCCCAUAUUCAUGGUAUGAAAAACACGGCUGCAGAUCACAUGACAACAGUGCACGUCUGAUAAAUGCUGCACCGGAGAAAACACUUCUCAUACACGGACACGUUUCCUCAUCUACUGAUCCUAGGUCUGCAGCACUGCCUUCAUAAAUCUGCUCCCGCUUCAACACAAGCAUAUUGUUACUCCUCAAGCUCACAGACAUGUUUAACUUUGCUGGUCUCCUUUCUCUUCUUUAAUCUGAUUGUCUUUUAUCUUUCUCUAAACAGCCAUCUUGAAUCGGUUUUCUCGAACUGAAAUAACUUGUUAAGUCAAAAGUUAGGGAAGACCUUGUCGUCGUGGCAACAUUCCUAAACACUCCCAGCUCCUCUGGACUUGUCCGACUUAGAUUUCAUCAGUGCAAGAAGAAGACACGCCAGUGUUACUCUCCCAAAUAUACACAACCACUCAUCAACAAAACGGCUGAGGAGAACACAGAGAGAGAGAGAGUGAGAGCGGAGGUUCUGCAUAUUUCCUGCUGAGGCUUCCCUGGUUUCAUGCAACACCAACCUGAAGGACAUGAGGAGGUGUUGUUCUACACAUCUGCUUCACUUUCAAAACAGCAUGCACUGCGAUUGUUUACAUGUGCAGUGCGAGUGUGUACACGAGCAGAUAGGCGCACUCAUGUGGUCCACCGCUGUCCCGUGAACUUUGGGAGUGGUUAGGAGGGGCGACCGCACACAAUCCAAACUAAAACAAAAGGCAAUGUGCACAAACUUAAGGUUUCGCUUAUGACUCAUUAGCUGAUUUGUCCAUUAUUCAGUCAUCCAUUUGAUUUCACCGUCACCUGCCCACCUCCACCCAGACCGGUAAUAUUUGCCAGCAGGCCUGCCAAGAAACUUUCAACUUGCAGCUUUGGGCCCAGCAGUGAGUACAUUUAGUUCAGGGAGUUGAACAUGUUUUUCUUUCCAGUAUUUAUCAUGUAUUGCCAAAUUCAUGUUUCUGCACUGAACCGCAUGACUCAGGAUUCAACACUAUUUUAAGCGCAUAGGACUUCUACCUACUUUACCAGUCACACGGCAGAUUACAAGCCGGUGUUCACGGGUUAUUUUCCAUUAUUGUUAAAUGACUAAGGAUUCAAUCAGCCAGGUUUUAAUAAUAUUAAAUAUCACACUGACAAUUGAUACAUUAGAAGCCACAAUCAAACUACUGCUUGAUGCACACUUCUCAUCAAGUUAUUAGAGUCAAAUACGAUCGUUUGUUCUGUCAGAAAAACGAUCUCCAUAAAAUGUCACAUUCCAACUGGAUUCACGACAUAACUGAGCUGAGCUGCACAUAACUCAAGCUACAUUAGCUUUUAGACUCUUGCUGCAGUAUCAACACUCUUCAGAAGUACAAUGAUUACUCCUGUUACUGUAUAACUAUUAUCUGGGGGGGAGGAGGUUCCGUGACAAUAAAUGGCAUUGUCCGUUCACGGUCUGGUACAACAGAGAGUUCAACUCAUCUGUUUGCAAAGAGACGCAUCACCACAUCUAACUAUGUAGUCUGAGUGUCAGACGAAGUGAAAGACAAAGUAGGACGAUGGCGGAGGAGUGAAAACAAAAAGAGAGCAAUUGAAACUCGAAAGACGGGCUCAAGGUCAGAGAUAUACACUAUCACACGUCCUGCCUAUGCUAACCAUGACAGUAGUCGCAGCUGUAAACGAAGUAGGCCUGUACAAAGAGGAGUCUAUGGAAAGUGUAACGCAGUUCAAUGGAAACACAACUCCGUCACAUGGCAAGAAGACCUUGAGGGUCGUUAGAGUAAAGCACACUGCACCAGUGGGAUAGAUAACAGGGACAGGACCCAGACUAUGCUGGGAGGAUAAAAUGUGAGCAAAAAAAAAGAAGAUUACAUUUUUUUAAAAGUCCUGAAAGCCAGAUUUUAUUGCCAGAAUCAUGUCUCUACUCUAAACUGCAGCUCCGAGGCUAGUAAAUCUAUUUUAAGACUGCAGUGUUCGUUUUUUACCACCUCUAGAACUAUUCUGUUGAUAUGCAAUAUUAAUCACAUCCUUGCUUACUGUGCAGAACUGCAGUUGGCAAAAUGGGCCUAUUAACACUAUGAGAGCUGGAUCUUGCUGUUCUAACGGCACAGCGGAUAUUGUAGAUAAAGAGCUUGGUGCAGGGUGAACAGAGGCUUGCAUCACAGAAGCAACAGAUGCUUAAUUAAACACUGAGGAAGACUUUCUGUAUAAUAGCAAAUCAUUUUAAUUAAGUGGACAUACGGCAGAGCAAUAAUAUUUUAUUAGGGUGUAGGAUCAUCUCGUGCUGUGCUAAUUAAUGACUCAAUUACGGAUUUAACAAACAGUAAAAGACAAUCACCAAAAUCAUCUGUUGAUUUGUUUUUUGUUUUGUAUCCAGAUCACAGCAGCUCCUGACAGACGUCACUCACCUUUUGUCCAGUCUUGUAUUUUCUUAUCCUCCUUCCUCUUCACACUCUC
Pleuronectes platessa (European plaice) is the source of this 3537-nucleotide long non-coding RNA. RefSeq lists it as uncharacterized. The record is from RefSeq and is a predicted model, not a curated record. NCBI's taxonomy places the organism in Eukaryota, Metazoa, Chordata, Actinopteri, Pleuronectiformes, Pleuronectidae. The transcript has 2 exons.